Long non-coding RNA from Passer domesticus (house sparrow), 964 nucleotides. RefSeq lists it as uncharacterized. NCBI's taxonomy places the organism in Eukaryota, Metazoa, Chordata, Aves, Passeriformes, Passeridae. The record is from RefSeq and is a predicted model, not a curated record. The transcript is spliced from 3 exons.
UCUCCGGGGGGUUCUGUCCCUUGGCACAGAGCCGGGACGAGGCUCCUGCCGCUGGGUUUCUCCUCUGGAGGGUUUUUGCUCGUUGCAGGGGCUGGAGAAGGCGCUGGGGCAGCAGCUCGGAGGUGUGUGAGCCCAGGUGUGCCCUGAGGGGUUGUGCAAAGCCGGGGCUGAACGCAGGUGUGGUGGAAAUAGAAAUUAAAGCUAAACGAGAGAAAUGGUAGUGGCAAUGUCAGGUUAAUGGUUGGACUCGAGCAUAGAGGUAUUUUUCAGCCUUUUGGGCUGAACAAUAUAAGGAGGACACAAAGUUGUUAGGGAGCAUCCAAAGGAGAGCCACGAAGGUUGUGAAGGGUCUGGAGGAGAAGCCAUGUGAAGAGCACCUUGGUUUGCUCAGACUGGAGAAGAGGAAUCUCCAUCAACUCCCCCUCCAGGGCAGCUGAAGCCUCCCUUGCUGAUUCUGGUGUGUGAAUGUUUCAGAACACCAAUUUUGCCUCCAUCCCCACCCUCUCUUCUGGCCUCCCUUGUUCUGCCUUUAUCCCCAUCCUCCUCUGCCGACCUCCCUGCCUGCAUCUGUGCUCAGUGGCUGUGUGUACACAGAAACCUAUUGCUGAUAGAACAGUCCUUUCGUUGCCAGGUUCUGCUGUAGGUCAACAGAGACAGAUUUGAGUCUGUGGGCCACUUCUGCCAGAUUUGACAAGGGGUGAGACCUCCAAGAGAAGACAUUCUAAGUCCUGAGAGGAGAGACAUGAUGAGGAAAAGGUCCCCAGAAGGAGGGGACACUGCAUUACUUCUUAUCUGGAGGCGUUUGCAUCAGAACUCUAAAUCAAGCAAAGCUGCAUGUGAAAGGCACUCCUGACUUGCAGAGAGGGUCACAGAAAGUGUAAUUUUGUUAAGCUAUUGAAUGAAUAAAACAAUCGUUAAUGACCUGUUCUCUGCAUUGGUGAAGCAACUUUUAUCUGGAGAUGUA